Molecule: unclassified non-coding RNA, 593 nt
Filed under: Hevea brasiliensis (rubber tree)
Lineage: Eukaryota; Viridiplantae; Streptophyta; Magnoliopsida; Malpighiales; Euphorbiaceae
Source: RNAcentral
AAGCAUAAAGAUAUCCAAAUUCUGUAUAUUUAACUCCACUAGAGUGCAUUCAUGAACACCAAACAAACAUAAUUCCAAUAUAUCUGAAAGAAGUAGUUCAAGUUUACGCCUAGUCGGUCAUAAUGCAAGUUAGUAGUUAGCCAGUUAGUUAGGCCUGAUAACUAAUAGAGAGACAGUUUAUAGAACCCAUACCUUAGAAUUGACCCGGCCAACGGCCAGUUCCGGCCUAGAACUGGUGGUUCCUCAGCCCUUGAGGGGUCGAACUGAAAUCAGCUUAGAUUUUGCGGAUUUGAACUGGUUUCAAUGGCUAAUUAUUAAAUACACUGGAACACUAAAAAAUUGUGCUUCCUCUCUUUUAGAAAAGUGAGUCAUCCUUAUAACGUGGAGAGUAAUAAUUUCUCAAUUUCAGUUUGGUCAGAUUAUAAUUCAGUUAUGGUUUGAUUUUGAAACCAUUUCGAUUCCAGUUUUUUGACAGUUAUAGUUUCAACUGGUUUUUGAUUUAUCAUAAUUCAAGUUAUUAUGAAUUUUGUAUCAACACUCUUGAAAAAUUUAAAUUCAAUAAAAUUACAUAUAAAAAAAUAUUUUUAUUGAUA